ACUCCAAACCUUUAUAUUUAUGUUCACCUUGACAUGGGAAACAUAAAUAUGGGUUUGCAUGUUGAGUGGAAUGAUUGUAACGAGUAGAACCAGAAGCCUUGAGCUAUAUGACGAUGAUUGAGCCUAAAUCCAACAAAACUGAGCUCUAUCUUGGCUCCAUCAAAUCCUAGGUAAGCUUUAUAAUAGUUGUGCAGUGUUUUGAGUUGAGAUUUUCAAGGUUUUGACCUCAUGUAUGCACUAAUUUCCAUUUCUAGUUUCUAGCGAGGGGCAAAGGACGAACUCCAACGAGUUCGAGGUGAACUUCUUGACUUAAUCUUCUAAUCUUCUUCUAGUUAAGUUUCUGAGCUACUGGUGUUUGGUUUUAUGUUUACCGUAUGUUCCAAGUUUCCGAUGAGCGAGUUCAAGGGGAAGGCCUUCAAUCUCAGGUGGAUUCAACCUUCCAGAAAUGAUUAUAGGUGAGCUCCUAGAAUUUUUUUUACUAAGUUUUAUGAUCGAGCUCAGAAGGGGGAACUAUGACCAUGAUCUGCAGUUCAUAAUGAUACCAUGGUGACAUCAAACGGAGGUCAACGGCGGUUGUCGUUAGGACUAACGGUGACAGCGACGGCCAAAUUCUACAUCUACAAGCAAUAGGAAAAGAAGAAAGAAAUUAUCUAACACUUCAUUUCGAUAUUGAUUGUGAAAUUGCAUUGCUGUUUCAGAAGAAGCUAUACUAAUUCGAUAUACUCUAAAAAUACCCUUGGUACAAUAUUGACAAUCUCACAAAGAUUGGAUUUCAAUGAAUUUCCAUUUAUUGAUUUAAUCUUUUACGGAAUCACCCCCCUCAAACAUUUCUAAUCGGUUGUCUUGUGUUUCUAAUAAGUUGCAUGAUAGUUGGCAUAUUGAAUCAUAUACAUAUACAUAAUGGGUUCGUUUA
RNAcentral lists this long non-coding RNA (913 nucleotides) under Malus domestica (apple). Its description in RNAcentral is "long non-coding RNA (MDOM_LNC013066)". The record is from RNAcentral. Lineage: Eukaryota; Viridiplantae; Streptophyta; Magnoliopsida; Rosales; Rosaceae.